Rosa chinensis is the source of this 1379-nucleotide long non-coding RNA. RefSeq lists it as uncharacterized. The transcript is spliced from 4 exons. The record is from RefSeq and is a predicted model, not a curated record. NCBI's taxonomy places the organism in Eukaryota, Viridiplantae, Streptophyta, Magnoliopsida, Rosales, Rosaceae.
UUUUGUUUCCUUUAUUUUUUUUAUCUAUCUCCAAGCACAUCUUCAUAUUUUCAGAGAGUAUCUUCUAUCAUCUCAAAACAAAACGAAAUUAAUUGAAGAAAAAAAAAAAAAGAGUUCGUGCGAACAUGAGACUCCAUGUCUCACGAACUGAUUUUCUUCCCAAAUUUUCGGCUUCUCUCUCAAUAUUCCUCAUCGUGCUUCAGUACUCUGCUCUUCACCAUAUUCCUGGUAUCUCUCCUCAUCGUGCGGUCUCCGGAAGAACCUACUGUGAAAUUAGAGUUCAUUGAGUGCAAGAACAAGAAUUGAAGGAUUGGUUCUGCAAACAUUUAUAGUAUGGAGCUUUAAGAAACAAUACAUACAGUAUGGAGCUUUAAGAAAGAUCAUUGAAGCAAAGAGGACCUUGUAUUUGACGCACUUCCAAUGAAUAAUGACUUUGUGUAUUCUAGAUUUUUGACGCACUUCAUUUGUUAGGUACCUAUAUGAGGUCCUUGAGAAAUCUGACAUGGUUAAUACAUUUGGGUUCAUGGAUCCUGCAAGGGUCGUCUCUAUUGGGGUAUCAGAUUCAAAGAAUGUAGUGAACAAUUUAGUAGAACAUCGCAUCGCAACAAGGAAAGUCUGAUCAUAUAUUUUUGGUGCCUUACAAUCCCAGGUGAUUAUAUUACAUAUAAUGUUUUUCAAAUGCAUCAGCAAAUGGCAUUAGUGUGUGUAUAUGUCAUGAAUAAAAUUCACUCUUAAGUAUAUAUUGUUGGAUUUUCAAUGAUCACUGGAUGUUGACUAUAAUAACUGAAGAAAAAGACAUUGUCUACAUUGUGGACUCUUUGGAAAGACAAUACCGUGAACAAGUAAGUUUAUUUAUAAUGCUUUAUGUAUAUUGAAAUAGAAUUUUUAACCAUUUUUUAUGCUAAUUUGAAUUUCUUUCUUUAUGAAGUGCAAUAAAAUUAUUUAAUGAAAUUACGGGUAGACAUGGCAAAAAAGCAUCACGAUGGAUAAAUCGCUCGGGUGCACCAAAACAAGUGGGUGGUGGUGAAUAUGGCUACUAUGUCAUGAGAUACAUGAAGGAACUGAUUGAGGAUCCAAUGCUUUCUUUUGCACAGAAGGAAGUCGAAGAGAACCAGCGACUCACAAGAGCAAAUUGAUGAGGUGCGGAUUGAAUGGAGUGAGUUUGUUACAAGGAAAUACUUGUAGAUGUUUAUGAUGAAGCUUGAUAUUUGUAGUGCUGCUUUUUAUGGAACAAGUGGUCUUUGUUGAUCGUUUGUUAAGUUGGACAGAAUUAUUUAAGUUUCAUUGUUUAAUAUGUAGUAGUACUUAAGUAGUUUACUUAUUGUAGAACAUGAUAUUUUAACUUUUGGUUUAUGAAAGAUAUAUGCGUAAUAAUUUUU